CAAUAGUGUAUAUUAAAGUUGUUGCAGUUAAAAAGCUCGUAGUUGGAUUUCUGGCGGGAGCGAUCGGUCCUUCACUCAGUGUUGGAACCUGAUUGUCUCCUGCCAUCCAUGGAGAAAACUUAUCUGGCAUUAAGUUGUCGGGUAGGCAAUCUCCAUCUUUUACUGUGAAAAAAUUAGAGUGUUCAAAGCAGGCUUAUGCCGUUGAAUAUAUUAGCAUGGAAUAAUAAGAUAGGACUAUGGUACUAUUUUGUUGGUUUGUGCACCAUGGUAAUGAUUAAUAGGGACAGUUGGGGGUAUUCGUAUUCCAUUGUCAGAGGUGAAAUUCUUGGAUUUAUGGAAGACGAACUACUGCGAAAGCAUUUACCAAGGAUGUUUUCAUUAA
Molecule: ribosomal RNA, 382 nt
Filed under: uncultured eukaryote
Lineage: Eukaryota
Description: partial 18S ribosomal RNA
Rfam family: Eukaryotic small subunit ribosomal RNA
Source: RNAcentral